AUGGCGCCACCAGCCUUCAAUCUCGCCGGAUCCGGCCGCCUGCACGCCAAGUCCGCCGGAAAUGGAUCCGUCCCGUCCAGAUCCGGCCGGAUCCGACCGAGCCCCGCCAUCCUCGCCACUGGAGCACCUCCCCGCUCGACCAACAGCGCCGGCGCUGUCUGUCCCUGCCCGCGUCUGCACGAGGACGACGCUCAUCCUGCUGGCUUGCAGCACUCGUAUGGGCCGCCGCCCCAGCCGUCCCGGCAUCAAGCCAAGGCCCAUCCCAAGCCACAUCUUCUGCCGCUCCGUCACCGCCCACCUUGA
This 303-nucleotide ribosomal RNA is filed under the name Triticum aestivum (bread wheat). RNAcentral describes it as "partial small subunit ribosomal RNA". Lineage: Eukaryota; Viridiplantae; Streptophyta; Magnoliopsida; Poales; Poaceae. The record is from RNAcentral.